This 1236-nucleotide unclassified non-coding RNA is filed under the name Hevea brasiliensis (rubber tree). Lineage: Eukaryota; Viridiplantae; Streptophyta; Magnoliopsida; Malpighiales; Euphorbiaceae. The record is from RNAcentral.
UUCUUUAUAUUUUUUUUCUUUUCUGCUUUUAAAUUCCUAACUCUAUCAAACCCAGUAACCCUUUAUAGCCUUCUCUUGUUACUCCGUUGUUUUAUUGCUAGAAUAGCUUUCAAUCUAAGACAUCCUUUCAUGGCAUCAACACUGUUCUCCACAUUCACUAUUAUUUCAUAUAGUUCUUAAAUGUUACUCAAGGUGUUUUCAAUGCCAAAUAAAACUGAACUCUAUAGUCAUAUUGCCGACACCUAUGCAAUUCAACUGAACUCUAUUUCGAUCCAGUACUUGGAAACUGUGUCUUGAAGGCCUAGAAUGCGUUUUCAAAGCCAAAUUAGCACCCAACUCAUCAAAACUGAGUCUCACACUCGCAUAUAUUAUGGCUCCUUUGUUAAGCCCACAAAGUGUGAAUCAAUGAAAAAUGACAACAAAUCCUCCCUCGAGCCCCUACUUCACUUUCAUUUCUUCACUUCCAUUCUCAGUAGUGUGAUUUAUUGAAGAAUGGACUGAGAAUAGUGAAGAAUACUACCCUGAAACCUUGGUGCCUCAUUCUUCAGUGGCUCAAGACAUGCUAGAGGCAAAAAUCAAUUAAUCAGUUUGCUAUUUAGAAGCUUGAAGUUGCCAGACAUAAUACCUAUUACAAUUUGCUUUUACCUUUUGACAUGUGUCACUAGUGGGCUUGUCAGAAAUUGCACUAAAAUAACAGUAAAAAGGGUUAGUCCUAACUAGACCAAAUAAAGAAAAAAAAGCUCUAGGUCUAAUUGGAGAUUGCCCAAUAGUUCAAUGGCCAAUUUGGCCUUUGUCACUAGGAAAAUUUGACCAUUAAAACUGUACCAAAUAUUUUUUAAAUAAAAUAUAAAUAGCACUUCCAAGUUUUCCAAAAGUAACAAAUGGAACUUAGACAGCUACUCCACACUUGCAGGGACUAUUUCAUUAAUUGUUCCAAUUCUUAUGUGUUAUGUUGGUAGGAAUUCAUCCUUACAAGGCUCUCAAACAAGCGGCUCUUCUGAGAACACAUUUACGCUUCGCAGCAUAAAUGAGUAGAUAGCAAAAUGCCAUUUGUUUUAGCUUUAACUUGGAUUCAAAGGUCAGCCCAUAGUUAUAAAGGCUCAAGGCGCACUACGGCACCAAAAGGUCCUGGAGCCUAGGAGCAAGGCAUGCUUGAGCAAGGUGAGGAGCAAAAAAAAUCAAAGUCAAAUAAAUAUGAAUAUUUCAUCAAAUUUUAAAUAAUAUAAAACUAAAAAU